Molecule: ribosomal RNA, 465 nt
Filed under: uncultured bacterium
Lineage: Bacteria
Description: partial 16S ribosomal RNA
Rfam family: Bacterial small subunit ribosomal RNA
Source: RNAcentral
CCUACGAGCGGCAGCAGUGGGGAAUAUUGCGCAAUGGGCGAAAGCCUGACGCAGCGACGCCGCGUGAGGGAUGAGGGUCUUCGGAUCGUCAACCUCUGUCAGCAGGGAAGAACGGUCACUGUGCUAAUCAGCAGUGAAUUGACGGUACCUGCAAAGGAAGCACCGGCUAACUCCGUGCCAGCAGCCGCGGUAAUACGGAGGGUGCGCGCGUUAAUCGGAAGUACUGGGGGUAAAGCGCUCGUAGGCGGUAUGUCAAGUCAAGGGUGAAAUCCCCGCGCUCAACGUGGGAACUGACUUUGAAACUGGCAAACUGGAGUGUGUGAGAGGAUAGUAGAAGUCAAGGUGUAGGAGUGAAAUCCGUAGAUAUCUGGAGGAACAUCAGUGGCGAAGGCGACUAUCUGGCACAUAACUGACGCUGAGGAGCGAAAGCGUGGGUAGCAAACAGGAUUAGAUACCCCUGUAGUC